CAAAAACAUAUCUCAGUAAACUGUCAAGCAGCUAAGAGCGAAGAAAAAAUGAGCGGCGGAAUCGACGGUGAAAAAGUAAUUUUUUCCCACAAAUCCGGCCACGGGAAUCGGCUGGUCAAGUCCCCGAAAGAGCCGUUUCUUCGCCAUGAGGAAUCUCGGUAACGAUGACCCCGAAGCUGCUCUGUCGAAAAUCCGUUCCAGCUGUGUGACGGUGACUCAAUUUACACUCCAAACAUCCGUUCCAGCUGUUCAAUUCUGGUUCUUUAUCGAGCGCAGAUUCACGAGGCCCACGGGAGUGUGCCGUGUCCAUCAAAUUCAGAUUGAUUACGAGGAAAUUUAUACGAAACUUUAACCUCGGGAAUCGGGAGGAACGGACGCGAACAGUUUCUAUCUGUAGAAUAAUCAUUAUGGCGAACCUGUGCCAAUACCGGUGUUCUCAGCCUGGUUAAAUGUAUACUUAUCGAGGAGGAAAAGGACCUGUAACUUUUUGUCGGCCGGAAAUCGCGGGAUUCUCCUAGAUAAUGUUCGUGUGUACUAACGCACAAGCAGGUGAAAUUCGUUGCCCCGUCGUAACCAUCCUCAACGUGUGAUUUGGUCGACGUGUGAUUGGGUUGUUAAAAUGUAUUAUUAAGCUAACGAAAAAGUUUUGACUACUAAAACCCAUUCGAAAUGA
This is a long non-coding RNA of Culex quinquefasciatus (southern house mosquito), 673 nucleotides long. RefSeq lists it as uncharacterized. The transcript has 2 exons. The record is from RefSeq and is a predicted model, not a curated record. Lineage: Eukaryota; Metazoa; Arthropoda; Insecta; Diptera; Culicidae.